This 2187-nucleotide long non-coding RNA is filed under the name Panax ginseng (ginseng). Its description in RNAcentral is "long non-coding RNA (PGIN_LNC015942)". The record is from RNAcentral. Lineage: Eukaryota; Viridiplantae; Streptophyta; Magnoliopsida; Apiales; Araliaceae.
UCCUAACUUCUUCAUCUUAACUCGGUUAUUUUUCUGUCCUGCAUGAUUUCAGAAUUCGGUUAUAACUUCACGAUAAAUUUUUCAAUUGACUGACACGCAAUGCGUCUCGACACUAUAUUGAUCAAUUGAACAAAAUAAUCACUCCCAUGAUUUCAUAUGCAAUUUUUUGUCAGGCAAGUUCCUCUAUCUUCUCAUAGUAUGCUUUAAUUUCAGUUGUUUUAUGUAAAAUUUUAGAGAUUUUGUUUUGUAAACGAAAAGUAAUUAAGCAACUUCAAUUCAUGCACAGAAGUGGAGAUUUUUACAAGCAUACAAGUUCUUUCCCUUACUAUAUAUGUAAGCUACAGAUUUUAUUAUUGUUGCAGGCUGUUACCGAUGAUGAUAUAUAUAUAUAUAUAUAUAUAUAUAUAUAUAUAUAUAUAUAUAUAUAUAUAUAUAUAUAUAACAAGGAUCAGGUCCGGGAGUCUGGACCUAAUCGAGAGUCCGGAUCUGAUAAAAAAUGGACCAAAUUUUUUAUUUUUUUUGCUUUUAAAUUUAAAACUAAAAAAAAUAUUUAAUAUUUUAUGAAACUGAAAUUUUUUUCAUAAUACAAUGUUUUGGGCGUGAUUUGGAUACCUAUACCAAAAAAUAUAUGUACAGUCUGCACAGACUGUACAUACAUGUUUUGUUAUAUGUAUCCAAAUCACACCCAAAACACUGUAUUAUGUAAAAAUUCAAGUUCCAUAAUUUUUUAUUUAAUUAUUUUUAGUUGUUUUAAAAAAAAAGCAAAAAAAUAAAUAAAUCCGGAUUUUAGUCUGUUCCGGGAGUUCGGACCUGAUCCGGCCUCUCUAUAUAUAUAUAUNNNNNNNNNNNNNNNNNNNNNNNNNNNNNNNNNNNNNNNNNNNNNNNNNNNNNNNNNNNNNNNNNNNNNNNNNNNNNNNNNNNNNNNNNNNNNNNNNNNNUAUGGAAUCUGGUAAGUUGAUGAUUCAUGAUAGUAAUCUUUUGAGUUGAUAACUUGAUAUGUAUAUCAUAUACUUGCCAGUUCGCUAUAGCGACUAUAGAACAGAAAGUCGUCAUAGCAUAUAUAUAUAUAACACUAUCAGGGAGAUAUCUUGUUUUCUAUGAAUAUUAACUGUAGGCCUUUUUUACACAAGGAAAAGAAAAAGGAGUGGUAGCAAUACAAUGAUAAUAUAUGUAGAUGCAAGAGAUGCUAGUUAUUCCCUCUAUUCUGCCUUAAAUAUUUGACUGUUUUGACUCCUUCCACACCUAAGUUUUUAAAGAAAAUAUUCUCGACUGACACUGAGCUGGCUGCAUCUCUCCUAUAUACUCUUUUGUUAGACAUUCAUAGAAAUUGGUAUUACAAGCGGUUACACGGGUCAUAAUAAACCCCCUGCGAAAAAGAAUAGAUACAGAUGGUUAGAAAACAGCUCCUAUUCGAUGAGUUUUCGGUAGAAAAGGAUAAAGGGUCUAGUACUUACUCAAACAUAAUGAUUGCUUUGUCAAUAGAAGCUUAUGUCAGGACCGCUUCCACUUUAACUGGUUUUAAACUUCUUAUAGCUCUCCGUAUAUGCUCAAAUGCCAAGACAAGGAGGCCAAAGAGGUACAGAAGGAAAAUAUAUAGCUUUUCGACAAUGCCAAAUAUCAAAUUUGUAUUGCUUCCUCCCUCGGGAUUUCUUUUGUAUAAUGAUAUUCUUGUCACUAUCCACCCUACAAAGGAUGAGAGUUUAUUAUAAGCACAUGAUGGGAUUUGUUAAAGAUGAUCUUGAAAACUAAUACAAAAGCCAGUACAAAAGAUGAUGUUUAGAGGAUCUCUUGUUCCAAGUCACUGUAGUUCUCAUCUGGUCUGUUUAAACUUUCACCAUUCUGCUUCUGUUAUCAGAAUCACGAGUUUUAUGAAACAAGGGUUCCUUAAAUCAAAUGCCAUCAACAAGAACAAUACCUAGUAAAUCUCAUUACACGUCCGUUGGUAUGAGGGUAAGGUACGGUAGGGUUUUAUGGUCCACAAGACCAUUCCAUGUUUACUAGUGAGACCAACUGAGCUUUUCAAGUGAAAAACUCACAAAGGGAGAGAACAUGAGCUCAGGCAACUUCAUGCCAUAGCCUUUAGGAAAUCAGGGUUUUAGUAGGUGAUAUUGGUGGACCCACCUACUAACAUAUGAACAUUCUAAAAAGGAACCAAUGCGGAAAAAACACGUUCAUAUUCAGUUUGUG